This is an RNA transcript of Zea mays, 2214 nucleotides long. It is a transcript of the gene named Aspartic proteinase A1, with no coding region annotated. NCBI's taxonomy places the organism in Eukaryota, Viridiplantae, Streptophyta, Magnoliopsida, Poales, Poaceae. The transcript is spliced from 12 exons. The record is from RefSeq and is marked validated.
CCCAAUCACGAACCACCCACAAACCUACCUCCGCCGCUGUGGGGACUGACGCACGGGCCAGGCCCACGCUCGGGUGACACAUUCGUACGUCGACGCAUCAAUGCGCCCGCCGGGUCGUCCGAGUGAGUAGCUUCAAGAAAGACAGGCACAGGACAGGGGGACUGGACGUAGUAGUACGUGGACGAUGCCAAUCCCAGUGUUUGUGUUUGUCGCCUAGACGCCUCAAGGCCCUCUUUCCCCCUCUCCGCCUUGACUCACUCACUUGGCCACUCUUCUUCCUCCUCAUCAAACCGCUCUCCAGCACUUGUUCGGAAGAAAAAGAAGGUAGAACACGCUAACAAGACAACAAGGAUCAUGGGGCGCGGGCGCGGCCACCUCCUGCUGCCGGCAGCAGCCGCCUGCCUGUGGGCGCUGUCGUGCGCGCUGCUGCUGCACGCGUCCCCUCACGGCGCUGGCGCCGGCGCCGGCGGCCUGCUGAGGGUCGGGCUCAGCAGGCGCGGCGGCGGGCUCGACCAGCGCGCGCUGGCGGCGGCCAAGGCCGCGAGGCAGCAGGAGGCAAGCCGUCUCGGGGCCUCCGGCGGCGGCGACGUCCCUCUCGUCGACUACCUCAACACCCAGUACUACGGGGUCGUCGGCAUCGGCACGCCGCCGCAGAACUUCACCGUCAUCUUCGACACCGGCAGCUCCAACCUCUGGGUCCCCUCCUCCAGAUGCUACUUCUCGAUUGCCUGCUACCUGCACCACAGAUACAAGUCGGCCAAGUCUAGCACGUACAAGGCGGACGGCGAGACCUGCAAGAUCACCUACGGCUCCGGCUCGAUCGCCGGGUUCUUCAGCGACGACGACGUGCUGGUCGGGGACCUGACCGUCAAAAACCAGAAGUUCAUCGAGACAACGCGCGAAAGCAGCAUAACGUUCAUAAUCGGCAAGUUCGACGGCAUCCUCGGUCUCGGAUACCCCGAGAUCUCCGUCGGCAAGGCUCCUCCGAUCUGGCAGAGCAUGCAGGAGCAGGAGCUGCUGGCGGAGGACGUCUUCUCCUUCUGGCUGAACCGGAGCCCGGACGCGGCGGCGGCCGGCGGCGAGCUCGUCUUCGGCGGCGUCGACCCUGCGCACUUCAGCGGGAACCACACCUACGUCCCCGUCUCCCGCAAGGGAUACUGGCAGUUCGACAUGGGGGACCUUCUCAUCGACGGCCACUCCACCGGUUUCUGCGCCAAGGGGUGCGCUGCCAUCGUCGACUCCGGGACUUCCUUGCUCGCUGGCCCAACGGCCAUAAUUGCCCAGGUGAACGAAGCGAUCGGGGCAGACGGGAUCAUCAGCACGGAGUGCAAGGAAGUUGUGAGCCAGUACGGAGAGAUGAUCCUCGACAUGCUCAUCGCACAGACGGAUCCACAGAGGGUGUGCAGCCAGGUUGGUCUGUGCGUGUUCGAUGGCGCUCGAUCUGUCAGCGAGGGGAUUGAAUCUGUCGUCGGGAAAGAAAACCUGGGCUCAGAUGUCAUGUGCUCGGCCUGUCAGAUGGCUGUCGUGUGGAUAGAGAACCAGCUCCGCGAAAACAAGACCAAGGAGCUCAUACUGCAGUACGCUAACCAGGAUUCUGCCUGUGUUCUUGCAUGCACCAGCUGUGUGAGCGUCUGCCGAGCCCCAACGGAGAGUCAACAGUCAGCUGCCAGGAGAUCUCCAAGAUGCCCAGCCUUGCGUUCACCAUCGCAAACAAGACCUUCACCCUAACACCCCAGCAGUACAUUGUGAAGCUGGAGCAAGGAGGCCAAACCGUCUGCAUCAGUGGGUUCAUGGCGUAUGACGUGCCACCGCCGCGUGGUCCUCUCUGGAUUCUUGGGGACGUCUUCAUGGGAGCUUACCACACGGUGUUCGACUUCGGCAACGACAGGAUUGGCUUCGCGGAAUCUGCAUGAGUGUGGAGAGCACUCUCAUCUUUAUAAAGACGAUACCCUAUGUAUUAGGGAUGUGUAGUUUACUGUCUAUCCACUACAUGCCAACAGUACGCUGCAAAUAAAUCGGUGGCCAAAAUUGCUGAAACCAGAAACGUGAACAGUACUGCUUUCUUUGUUUCUGGAGAAGAGCAAAUGGAUGCUUCAAGACAUGCAUGUCCGAUGUGUAUUGAGAAAUAGAGCGACGAGUGCUGCUCGAUCGUCUUGAAAUUUGUUUGUUCAUGGUAGCACAGCUUAUCACUUAUAAAAUAAUUUGUGGAUCGCC